GAAGACGAGGACAAUCCACAAUUGCUUAGCCGACUUUUAUGGGACGAAUUGGACAGACAAUUAAAAAAAUAAGAUAUAUAAUUGUGAAGUUCCAUAAGAAGUGUGCUGUUUCUCAUAUGCUUUCAGAUCCAACUUUGCAUUCACACACAAUCCCGGACUUAGAGGGGCUCCGCACUUAAUGCUCAAUCCUCGGUGUCUCAAAAAUACAUCACAUUUUGAAGUGUGCACUGAUACUAUUUCAGAAUAUACCAUUCAACAUUCAAAUUAAAAACAUAGAACCAAAACCAAAUGAAACUCUAUUAAAUUUUCAUUAUGUAGCAUCUAUAAUAUACGUGUGAUUAAUAUAGAUCUCGCAGGAUUAUUAUGAUCAUAAUGCUUUGAAUCAGAAUACUAUCUAAACGACUGCAUAUAAAUAGAUUGUUAUAAUUCUUAAAGAUGUAAAAACAAAAUUUAUGAAGUAAAAUUAUGUUACUUUAAUUUCGCAAGCAGAUAUACAAAUUGUUUCCAUUGCGGGUAAAGGGAAAUAUAGGCUGCUGCAAAGGUAAGUGCUAUCAUUUUGAUCGCUUCAUCCUUGCAAGAGUUGCAAGGAUUCCAGAUAUCCUUGCGGGAUGUCUAAAAUCACAGAAAUUCAUUUUCAAAGAAUAUGAUGGUUAUGUUCUCUUCGAUCUCUACGCAACUUUGUGCCCACUAGUGGCCGAGUGUUUUUCUGAUCAUCAAUACAGUCAUUUUAACUGGCACCUCAAGGUAAUGAAAUUUUUCUAACAUUUUAAAUCAAUCAUCAUCAGAUGAUAUAAGAUCGAGUUCUUGUUGGCAAACCUUUGAAUCAUUGAAGUGCCUAAGCAUUUGCCAACAAUUCAAAGGUUAUUUUGUUGCCAGGCAAUCGAGAGCUCAUGGAAUAAAGUUAAGUGGUAUGCUAAGCAGAUCCCUGUGUUUUUUUUUAACAAAUGAAA
Molecule: long non-coding RNA, 950 nt
Organism: Centruroides sculpturatus (bark scorpion)
Lineage: Eukaryota; Metazoa; Arthropoda; Arachnida; Scorpiones; Buthidae
Exons: 2
Source: RefSeq, a predicted model, not a curated record